This 260-nucleotide ribosomal RNA is filed under the name uncultured soil bacterium. RNAcentral's name for it is "partial 16S ribosomal RNA". It matches the Rfam family "Bacterial small subunit ribosomal RNA", at positions 26 to 285 of the family's 1533-position model. The record is from RNAcentral.
AGAACGAACGCUGGCGGCGUGGAUUAGGCAUGCAAGUCGAGCGCGAAAGGGGAGCAAUCCCCGAGUAGAGCGGCGAACUGGUGAGUAACAGGUGGGUAACGUGCCCCGAAGCGGGGGAUAACCAAGGGAAACUUUGGCUAAUACCGCAUGUGGUCUAGGGAGCUUCGGCUUCUUCGACUAAAGCAGCAAUGCACUUUGGGAUCGGCCCGCCCCCGAUUAGCUAGUUGGUGAGGUAAUGGCUUACCAAGCUGCGAUCGGUA